UGCAUAGUAAACGUGGUUUGGUUGUCUGCUUCAAAUGCCGCAACAUUAGACUGGAAGAAAGGUCUCAUUGGCCCGUGUUGAUUGAAUGAUUUGAAUCUCGAUGGAUACUUAACCAGCGAAAUUAAAUCUUUUACUCAAAAAUCUCUUACUCAUUCAAUUUAUUACACAUUCUAUGGAUCUCACGUAUACGAUGGCUAAAUUUGAUGAAUACGAGUCCUUACCAACCUCGAAUUCCACUACACACAUGAUUGCUGGGUCCAUGGCUGGAAUUUUAGAGCACUGUGUCAUGUUUCCAAUUGAUUCGGUCAAGACGCGUUUACAGAGUCUUGUAAGCGCCAAUCGAAGUUUCCGGUCAGUCCUGAUGACUAUGAUCAGAAAUGAAGGAGUGUUCAGACCACUUCGCGGCAUUGGCGCUACGGUUGCUGGAGCUGGACCAGCUCACGCCUUGUACUUUGCUGCCUAUGAGCGAUUAAAAGUUGAUUUCACAUCGACAGGCUCAGCACAUCAUAACUACUUGGCUCAGGGAGCAGCUGCCUCCGCUGCCACUGUUCUCCAUGAUGGAAUUAUGACGCCAGCGGAAGUGGUUAAGCAGCGAUUGCAGAUGUACAACAGCCCCUUCCGGUCCUUGACAGAGUGUGCCAUAAAAGUCUAUCAGACGGAAGGAUUUUCCGCCUUUUAUCGCUCUUACGGCACGCAACUCGCCAUGAAUGUGCCGUUCCAGUGCGUUCACUUCAUCGUGUACGAGGCAAUGCAAAAUGCCACCAACCCCGAACGCACCUACAAUCCUUUAGGUCACGUCGUCUCGGGUGGAGUCUCUGGAGCCCUUGCGGCCGCUGUUACCACGCCGCUUGACGUCUGCAAGACACUGUUGAAUACUCAAGAGGCUGAAGUCUUGCACCGGGCGCAGAAGACGCAAAUCAGUGGAUUUUUUAACGCUGCACAAAUGGUUUACCGAUUGGGAGGUUUUGGUGGCUUCUAUCAGGGAUUGCAAGCACGUUUAUUGUUUCAAGUUCCUUCGACGGCUAUCUGCUGGUCCGUCUAUGAGUUCUUUAAAUAUUUUCUGACAAAAACGGACUAAGUGACGGUGACAAAGUCACGUAUGUUUGAAUAACUAAACGUUUUCUAAAACGAGCAAAAUCAAACUGGGCUAAUGGACUAGAAAUAUGUUGACGCAGCGGAAGUAUUUUCAAAUCUAGGUACAAACACUAUACUAGAUACAGUAUAGUGUGAUUCAUCGGUGGUUGAAGAAGAAGUGGCAUUAGUUGCAGCUUCUGCUGCUUAGUAAUCAUCAAGUAUUUAAAGUGAGAGAUCGAAUCAUCUAUUGUUUGAAUCACCUAUUGUCCUUGACAGCUGUAUAUAUGUGUAUAUAGGAGUCACGGGCUCACGGCCGUCUAGUUGCACUAUCCCUUGCCAUUGGUGCCUACAAACUCGAAGUCAAGAUACAAAUUUUUAAUGUUGAGAAAAUGGUUCUUCUUUUGCCACAAAACUAAACCAAAUAAACAAUUGGAAUCACACACAAAAA
Molecule: unclassified non-coding RNA, 1522 nt
Filed under: Daphnia pulicaria
Lineage: Eukaryota; Metazoa; Arthropoda; Branchiopoda; Diplostraca; Daphniidae
Description: mitoferrin-1-like, transcript variant X1
Source: RNAcentral